ACUCAUCUUUAUCUGGCUGCUGGCCUUUUGUCAGCUUUUCAGCACCGGUAUUUCGCUCCCUUUUCUUCAUUACAUUUCAACCCUCUUGGCUGCUGUCACUGCCAUUGAACCGCAUUUGUUUAAAAGAUUGAUGACCAACAAUUGACUGCAGGCCCGCAUCCUUCCGCCCCCCGGUUGCUUUUCUCUUUGUUUUUUUUUUUUGUCUGCUCCUGACAUAAUGUGCUCAAUAUUUAUGAGCCGCAGAUCCGGACAGACACUUCAAGUUUCCCGUAAUCGAAGAUGAAGAGCAAUGAGCACGGCCAUGACCUGUAAAACUUGCGGAAUGAUUUCAUUAAUUUAAUGUACAACAAUGUGACUUGUCACUUGUCAACUUUUUGGUCGAAACUUGGCCGGGGAUGGUAAAUCAGUUCAUAUUAGUCUAAUGCCCCGAGGGGGGGAUAAAACUCACUUAGUGCCGAGAAAAGUUUGCCGACAACAUGUCAUUGAUUUCAUACACGCUGCAUGCCCAGGACGCAGGACUCAGGACUCAGGACACAGGACACAAAAAGGACAGGACAAGGAUCUUAAAAAGUGCCGCAUGCAGGCUACGAUGCAUCAUCAUGGUUGUCAGCCACAUUUACUCGACAUUUAACUUAUGCCAAGUGCAGAUGCGAUGGAGACGACGGCUACGAACAGGAAAACGGAAAGGAAGGAUGUGAAGUUCCGGGCGGGCGGUUCUAAUUGUAUAAAAGAAAGGCUGAGCUUCUCGGAAUAAUAAUUUACGACAAACUAGUUAUUCUUCUACUUUCAAGAAGGUAGAGCUUACUUUUCUAUUUACUAUAUUUAUUAAAUCAGCAACCAUUUUCCAAAUGAAUCAUCUGCGGAUUUAAGAUGCUUACUUCAACAAACGCAUUUUCCGAGCAAAUAAGCCAUUCCGGAAAAACAAAUUAAGGAUGCGCAAUCGACACGAAAUAAAGACCCUAAAGAACUCAGUCAGCUACUUUAUUACCCGGAGAGAUAUUGCCAUCCCAUCCCGGGAAAAUUGGAAAGACCCCAGCUAACCUAAUGACAGACCACCCGAACACCCUUACAAACGAUAUUACUACAGACUUUUACGACACU
Drosophila melanogaster (fruit fly) is the source of this 1101-nucleotide non-coding RNA. Lineage: Eukaryota; Metazoa; Arthropoda; Insecta; Diptera; Drosophilidae. The record is from Ensembl.